This 301-nucleotide ribosomal RNA is filed under the name uncultured bacterium. RNAcentral's name for it is "partial 16S ribosomal RNA". It matches the Rfam family "Bacterial small subunit ribosomal RNA", at positions 509 to 807 of the family's 1533-position model. The record is from RNAcentral.
CAGCAGCCGCGGGAAUACGAAGGGGGCUAGCGUUGCUCGGAAUGACUGGGCGUAAAGGGCGCGUAGGCGGCGAUCAAAGUCAGGCGUGAAAUUCCUGGGCUCAACCUGGGGGCUGCGCUUGAUACUUGGUUGCUUGAGUGGGGAAGAGGGUCGUGGAAUUCCCAGUGUAGAGGUGAAAUUCGUAGAUAUUGGGAAGAACACCGGUGGCGAAGGCGGCGACCUGGUCCUUGACUGACGCUGAGGCGCGAAAGCGUGGGGAGCAAACAGGAUUAGAUACCCGAGUAGUCCCUGUCUCUUAUAC